This 68-nucleotide transfer RNA is filed under the name Lista haraldusalis. RNAcentral describes it as "tRNA-Cys". Lineage: Eukaryota; Metazoa; Arthropoda; Insecta; Lepidoptera; Pyralidae. The record is from RNAcentral.
AGCUUUAUAGUCAAAAUUGAUUUAAAAUUGCAAAUUUUAAGGUAUAAAUAAAUUAUUUAUUAAGGCUU